GGAAUGGGUGAGUAACACGUGCUUAAUCUACUUUAGAUUGGAAUACCCAUUGGAAACAAUGGCUAAUGCCGGAUACGCAUGGAACCGCAUGGUUCCGUUGUGAAAGGCGCUGUAAGGCGCCACUAAAAGAUGAGGGUGCGGAACAUUAGUUAGUUGGUGAGGUAAUGGCCCACCAAGACUAUGAUGUUUAGCCGGGUCGAGAGACUGAACGGCCACAUUGGGACUGAGAUACGGCCCAAACUCCUACGGGAGGCAGCAGUU
RNAcentral lists this ribosomal RNA (261 nucleotides) under uncultured Mycoplasma sp. Its description in RNAcentral is "partial 16S ribosomal RNA". It matches the Rfam family "Bacterial small subunit ribosomal RNA", at positions 99 to 355 of the family's 1533-position model. The record is from RNAcentral. Lineage: Bacteria; Bacillati; Mycoplasmatota; Mollicutes; Mycoplasmatales; Mycoplasmataceae.